This 508-nucleotide ribosomal RNA is filed under the name Pseudoalteromonas sp. Its description in RNAcentral is "bacterial SSU rRNA". It matches the Rfam family "Bacterial small subunit ribosomal RNA", at positions 375 to 876 of the family's 1533-position model. Lineage: Bacteria; Pseudomonadati; Pseudomonadota; Gammaproteobacteria; Alteromonadales; Pseudoalteromonadaceae. The record is from RNAcentral.
GCGCAAGCCUGAUGCAGCCAUGCCGCGUGUGUGAAGAAGGCCUUCGGGUUGUAAAGCACUUUCAGUAAGGAGGAAAGGUUAGUAGUUAAUACCUGCUAGCUGUGACGUUUACUGACAGAAGAAGCACCGGCUAACUCCGUGCCAGCAGCCGCGGUAAUACGGAGGGUGCGAGCGUUAAUCGGAAUUACUGGGCGUAAAGCGUACGCAGGCGGUUUGUUAAGCGAGAUGUGAAAGCCCCGGCUUAACCUGGGAACUGCAUUUCGAACUGGCAAACUAGAGUGUGAUAGAGGGUGGUAGAAUUUCAGGUGUAGCGGUGAAAUGCGUAGAGAUCUGAAGGAAUACCGAUGGCGAAGGCAGCCACCUGGGUCAACACUGACGCUCAUGUACGAAAGCGUGGGGAGCAAACAGGAUUAGAUACCCUGGUAGUCCACGCCGUAAACGAUGUCUACUAGGAGCUGGGGUCUUCGGACAACUUUUCCAAAGCUAACGCAUUAAGUAGACCGCCUGG